RNAcentral lists this long non-coding RNA (320 nucleotides) under Ananas comosus (pineapple). RNAcentral describes it as "long non-coding RNA (ACOM_LNC042785)". Lineage: Eukaryota; Viridiplantae; Streptophyta; Magnoliopsida; Poales; Bromeliaceae. The record is from RNAcentral.
CUAUACUCUUAUGAGUAUAGUCUCUUUUGUACUCAAAAAUUUUCGGCCGUUAGAUCUACCAUUUUCACCAUUUCCACCCAUUAGAUUAUACUAUUCAAUCAACCACUCACUCAACCCUAGAGGACCACUAUCAUCCUAACCGCACAUCCUUUCAUCCAACAGUCGAAAACUUAUGAGUAUAAAGAGAUCUAUAUUCAUAAGAGUAUAGUAGCCCUAACCUAUAUAAGAUACCCAAUUUAAUAAAAUUAUCUUCAAAUGAAUAAAUAAAAUUUACAAAUUAAUCGAACACUUCUCAGCUAAUUUGCAUAAAAAAUCCACAA